ACGGGAGGCAGCAGUGGGGGAUAUUGCACAAUGGGGGAAACCCUGAUGCAGCGACGCCGCGUGGAGGAAGAAGGUUUUCGGAUUGUAAACUCCUGUCGUGUAGGACGAUAAUGACGGUACUACACAAGAAAGCCACGGCUAACUACGUGCCAGCAGCCGCGGUAAAACGUAGGUGGCAAGCGUUGUCCGGAAUUACUGGGUGUAAAGGGAGCGCAGGCGGUUUGGUAAGUUGGAAGUGAAAUCUAUGGGCUCAACCCAUAAACUGCUUUCAAAACUGCUGAACUUGAGUAGUGCAGAGGUAGGCGGAAUUCCCGGUGUAGCGGUGGAAUGCGUAGAUAUCGGGAGGAACACCAGUGGCGAAGGCGGCCUACUGGGCACCAACUGACGCUGAGGCUCGAAAGCGUGGGUAGCAAACAGGAUUAGAUACCCUGGUA
This 434-nucleotide ribosomal RNA is filed under the name uncultured Subdoligranulum sp. RNAcentral's name for it is "bacterial SSU rRNA". It matches the Rfam family "Bacterial small subunit ribosomal RNA", at positions 341 to 792 of the family's 1533-position model. The record is from RNAcentral. Lineage: Bacteria; Bacillati; Bacillota; Clostridia; Eubacteriales; Oscillospiraceae.